GACGUAGGGCGCGAGCGUUGUCCGGAUUUAUUGGGCGUAAAGAGCUCGUAGGCGGCUUGUCGCGUCGACUGUGAAAACCCGCGGCUCAACCGUGUGGUCCGCAGUCGAUACGGGCAGGCUAGAGUUCGGUAGGGGAGACUGGAAUUCCUGGUGUAGCGGUGAAAUGCGCAGAUAUCAGGAGGAACACCGGUGGCGAAGGCGGGUCUCUGGGCCGAUACUGACGCUGAGGAGCGAAAGCGUGGGGAGCGAACAGG
RNAcentral lists this ribosomal RNA (254 nucleotides) under uncultured bacterium. RNAcentral's name for it is "partial 16S ribosomal RNA". It matches the Rfam family "Bacterial small subunit ribosomal RNA", at positions 524 to 776 of the family's 1533-position model. The record is from RNAcentral.